Malurus cyaneus samueli is the source of this 110-nucleotide small nuclear RNA. NCBI's taxonomy places the organism in Eukaryota, Metazoa, Chordata, Aves, Passeriformes, Maluridae. The record is from Ensembl.
GCAUAUUUCACUUUGGUACAUACACUAAAAUUGGAACAAGACAGACAAGAUUAGUAUGGCUCCUGGGAAAGGAUCACACGCAGAUUCAUGAAGAGCUGCAAAAUAUUUUU